AAAACGACUCUCGGCAACGGAUAUCUCGGCUCUCGCAUCGAUGAAGAACGNAGCGAAAUGCGAUACUUGGUGUGAAUUGCAGAAUCCCGUGAACCAUCGAGUCUUUGAACGCAAGUUGCGCCCGAAGCCGUCAGGCCGAGGGCACGCCUGCCUGGGCGUCACGC
This 164-nucleotide ribosomal RNA is filed under the name Solanum campylacanthum. RNAcentral's name for it is "5.8S ribosomal RNA". It matches the Rfam family "5.8S ribosomal RNA". From Rfam's summary of the family: 5.8S ribosomal RNA (5.8S rRNA) is a component of the large subunit of the eukaryotic ribosome. It is transcribed by RNA polymerase I as part of the 45S precursor that also contains 18S and 28S rRNA. Functionally, it is thought that 5.8S rRNA may be involved in ribosome translocation. Lineage: Eukaryota; Viridiplantae; Streptophyta; Magnoliopsida; Solanales; Solanaceae. RNAcentral also lists the same sequence under 8 other names. The record is from RNAcentral.